This is a long non-coding RNA of Nycticebus coucang (slow loris), 4374 nucleotides long. RefSeq lists it as uncharacterized. The record is from RefSeq and is a predicted model, not a curated record. Lineage: Eukaryota; Metazoa; Chordata; Mammalia; Primates; Lorisidae. The transcript is spliced from 8 exons.
CCCACCAGCUACCUGGGGCUGCCAAGAGUUGCCUCAUUGGAACAAGAGAUACUUGUCCCAUCCCUGUCACUCAGAUGCUCCUGCGUUCAGUCUGGGUAUUUGGGGCUGCUCCUCCCCGGCAUGUACUAAGUAGUGGUCUCUUGAAGAAUGUGUGCUGAGCCCCACUGUGUGCUGGGAGCCAUGCUGCGGUGGUGCAGGACAAACGAGCCCACGGGAGGCCCAGCUGCAGGAGCUUGCGAUCUUGACGAGGCCACAGGACAAGCUCACACAGCACGUUGGCUGAGCCAAGCUUCUCCCCGCAGAGCUGAGGCUGGCUGCCUACUUCCCUCCCCUCCCCCCAGCACUGUGGAAGGUCCCUACGCAUUGUUAAAUCCACAGAAGCUGACUGAGAUGGGGUCUGAGGGGUCUUAGGAAAUGAUGUGGGGGCUGGGAACCCUUGGGAAGUGGCAGGGGCAGUGGGUGUGCAGAGGUGCAGAAACGAGAGAACGAGAUCUCUGAGUGUGGGUGCAGGUGGGCAGACAUGGCUCCAGCCCGAGUUCAGGGCACAGAGGCUAGGAGACUCUUCCGGACCAGGCCUCGAGAACCGUGGUGGUUUCAGAGGAGAUGCCCUACUGUGGGGUGUGAGCCUCUUCCUCUCGCCACCGACCUCAUCUGGGCUGGCUCCCAAUUUGCCAUGGUACCCAGGAGGCACACAUCCUCUCAGAGGUGACUACAGGUGCCCACUGCUCCUACUCCAGCCCUUGGGAUGGUCAAGGCAGCAUUUGACUCCCUGAGGGAUAUUCUGAGCAGUUCCAGCUCUGAGCUUUUCUGUGGCUCCUCCUGGGCAACCCCAGAGCCCUUCUUCCCAGCGGUGCCGGGGUCAGGGUUACAGCCUGGAGGAAAGCAGAAGGACUUGAGACUCUUGGACCUGGCCUAUGGAGCCCCAGUGGGUAGGGGAGUGACUGGGACACACUUGGAUCAUGGCCGGGGCAAGUUUUUACAGUCAGUGGCCAGUGGAGGGCAAAAGGCUAGAGGGAGGAGGCCCACCCUGCCUAAAUGGCAUCGAUCACCAAGGAAAAGGCCAGUGGGGAGGAGAGGAAGCAGCUUCUUCCCUGACAGGUUUCCUGAGCCUUGAGCCUCAUUCAUCCCACAAAAGCAACAACCAACACAGCAAAAAGGCUCCAAAUAUGAACAACACACAUCCCAAUCAAUAUGCUAAUUAGGGCUCAUUAGCUGCGAGCAAGCAGGCACAGCCGGGAGGGCAGCACAGGAGGACCUCUCUGGAACCUUCUGUCUGCCCCUGGGGCCUGAACAAGUGCCCAUCUGCCAGCACUCCCAGGCCGCCAGGCCGCCCGGCCUUCUGCUGCAGGACCCCUCGGGGCCCGGCGUUGGGCCUUGUUGUUUUGGUGGUUGGGUUUCUGUGGCGCUGGGCUCUGUCGUGUGUGCAGUCACUGCGCGGGGAGUGCACACUCCAGGCAGACGUUUGCUGAAGUGGGAGUCAGGGGCAGCUGCUCACAGCGGCCGUUCCCGGCAUGGCAGUGCCAGGGGGCUGACCAACACUCUCGCCAAGCUCAUGCCACUAGGUGGGGGCAAGACCCAAUUAGAAGGAGAAAAAGAACAGUGUCGUUUCCUCUUUCUAGUUAACUCUUAGCUAUAGGAUCAAUUGCACUUAAGGCAAAAUAAGAAAGCAGCACGGCCUGGACUGGCUGCCUUUUUAAAUAGUCAUUACUGUUGUUAUUCGCACUGUGAAUCUGUAACCAUCACAGCCUGGAGGUGCUGGUAGCUGUUAUCAGUUCAUAGGUUCCGAGGAAGGGCUACCCAGAAGGGCCCGGGCAGAGCUGGGCUGGUGAGAGAAUUUUGCCAAACGCUCAGUCGGUGCUCCAGUUUUCCAUGCCUUUGGACAAGAGGAGGAGGGAAUGGCUGUGGAUGCCCCUUCCCCUGCUCUGCCAACACCCCUGCUAUGGAGAACUGCCCACCUGGUUGACCAGUCAGUGACCCGGCAAAGGGCUGGCCUUGAGGGCAGUUUGUUGUGGGUGUCCUAUGGGACUAGGCUGAGGCUGGCCUCCUGUUGAGGCCGAGACUUUGUUCAGCCUUCCUCACUCCACAGGGGUCCUCUCCCUGCCUCCACUUCUCCAGGGAGCCCUGCCCUCUGAAACCACACCUGAGGCUGCCAGCACUCCUGGCUGAAGACCCCAGGAGAGCGUCUCCAAGCUGCGCUCUCAGGGACCUGCCUGUGGCCUCAGAAGGACAUCCAUGCAGCCAGCAGAUGUCAUCUGGGCUUCCCCAGCCCUCCUGAACCCAUCUGAACCUGAAUUCAGAGACCUGGUCCUGCCUUUGCCCUUGAAAGUUCCCCUCAGGAAUGACGACUGGUCUUCCUGGGGUCCUCUGCGGCUGGGAAGGAGCUGCUUGGCUGGAAAGCUGCCCCGUGCCAAAUCCAGGGCAUCUGCUGGUGGGUCUGUGCCCACUGCCGACUCUAAAGGAUCUGCUGCUUUUGGACCCGGAUAUAACUAGUGGGGGCUUGAGGUCUCUCUCCUCAUAGCUUCCCAGCCUCCAGCCUUGGCCCCUCAGCCUGUGCUCUGUGAUGUGCUGAGAAAACUUGUUCUUGCCACCAUUCCUGAGAUCUGGGGUGGAAAGUAGGAAGCAUCACGCAUAACACUGCCAACCUCAGGAGGAUUCACGGCCUUGGUACGCCACUCCGUGUGGGGUCCACGGGCCGGGCAGCCUCUCUUCAUGCCUGUGAACACUCUGUGUUCAAAUAAAGACUCACCAAGGCCUGUUGGAGCUGGAAGCAUGAUGCCCAGCUGCAGCCUAACAGAGAGGAGGACUUGCCUGUGUCACCAGCCACGCUGCAGAGUCUCUGCUCCUCUUCAGACCUCACUGUAAGGAGCUGCAUCUUGGGUGCAAUGAUAAAAGUUCAUGUGGAAUAUGUCCCCUGUGGUCUUCUGGCAAAAGCUAUUGGAAAAUGACAAGUGAGAGACAUAGAAGGGCUAUAAAGGGGACAUAAACAUCCUGAUGGCAUUGCAGGAGCUGUGACAAAUCUUGCUUCUCCUCACCUAUUUAAAGAAAGCCGAGGAGAAGGGGCUGGCACAGGGCCCUGUAUAACCUGAUCUUUGUUCACCUGAGGCUCAAGUAUCAGAAUUUGAACACUGGAUGGAGCAGGGUGAGUGUCCUCAUUUUGGUGGUUAACAAAAUGUGGUCUUCUUAGGAAAUAGAAUAUUAUUCAGGCUUAAAAAGGAAGGAAACUCUGACACACUUGAUGGCAGGGAUAAGCCCUGAGGACGGGAGGCUGAGUGAAAUAAACCAGACACUAAAGAGGGAAGCCCGUGGGGUUCCACACACAGGGGUGUUUGUGGAGCCAAAGACGAAUGCUGGAGCUUUUCCAGCUUGCAACUCUGCCCAUCGAGAUGCACUUGCCCGAGGAGCCAGCAUCUUUCCUUGACCCUGCACCUUUGUGGAUAUCAGAUGAAACUAAAACUGUAUCAUCAUUUUGGCAGAUGUGGGCAGAGCGGUGAAGAAUGGGGAACAGGUGACAUGGGACAUCAGCUGUCUGCGAAAUAUUUUCUGGGGGAGACUCCCUGUUAUGCUCAUAUCUCAGAAGUCCUUGGCAAGUUCUGACCCCUUACAAGGGACUUGGGAGAGGAGCAGCCUCAGGCCAAGGUGACUUCAUUGUGGAGACAGAAACUAAUUCCUGUCUAAGUGGGAAGAAGCUCUUUAGCUGCAUUAGGAGCCUAAAAUCUGGGCAGUGCCUAUGGCUCAGUGGGUCGGGGCUGGCCCCAUAUACCAAGGGUGGUGGGUUCGAACCCAGCUCCAACCAAACUGCAACAAAAAAUAGCUGGGUGUUGUAGCGGGUGCCUGUAGUCCCAGCUACUUGGGAGGCUGAGGCAAGAGAAUUGCCUAAGCCCAGGAGUUGGAGGUUACUGUGAACUGUGAUGCCAUAGCACUCUACUAAGGGCAAUAAAGUGAGACUCUGUCUCAAAAAAGAAAAAAUAAAAGAGCCUGAAAUCUGAUGAAAGGUGAAUAGAUUCGAUCUUCCUUGCAUCAGUCACCUGGGAGUUCAUCAGACUCAAACUGAUUAGGAAAAUUCACAUUGAAAGCAUCAUUUAUAAUGGACCCAAAUCAUAGAAAACAUUUGCCUUUGAGGGAGGCAGAAACAGCAUUUCUACCUAAGCCAUAAUCUUUCAUGAUUUCUCCCUUCUUCUUUGCAGGGUUUAACAGCCCCGUCUCCUCCCCAAGACUAAUCAUUAGACUAAUUAGUGGCUAAUCAAUGUUUAAUUAAAACUUAACCAUUAAUUCUAGGAAGUUCCAUGGCAACCUGGGAAUAAAUGUGGUUGCAGGAGAAGGGAUCAGGUUUCCUUAAACUCAGCUGAUGGCCCAAACAGAAAGCCUUCCUUCUCA